RNAcentral lists this long non-coding RNA (1928 nucleotides) under Salmo salar (Atlantic salmon). RNAcentral describes it as "lncRNA (ENSSSAG00000083205.1)". Lineage: Eukaryota; Metazoa; Chordata; Actinopteri; Salmoniformes; Salmonidae. The record is from RNAcentral.
UGGGUUGGUUUAGUCCAGAAUCACCCCUCAUAUGACUCCUACCAAUGCACUCAGUACCUUUAGUUGGGUCUCAGGUUCCUUCAUACCAGCAAUUCAGGUUCCCGAUGGACUAAUUAACCAGAUGCUAUAAAUCCUCAAUUAAUCCAGUGUGUUUCAGAAACCAGGAGUAAAACGACAUGCACUCCUAUGACUCUUUGAUGACACCGAGUUUCAGAACAAUAAAACAAGUUUAUUCAAAAUUCCAGAAACAGGCAUUAAAAAUCACAGAUCAAUCAAUCAAUCAUAAAUCAAUAUCCCCAAUCGAUGAUAAGCAAAAAUAUAACUUGGAUUAAAUUGAGAGAUGCCUUCAGCGCCCAUAACUAAACCCUUAUCUAAACCCUUAUUAGUGUGUGUCAAUAAAAUAUGUUUGGUCUAUAACAAUUUUAUGAGAAGCACAGUGUUCAAUAACAAGAAAAACAAGUUCUUACCUUCUACAAAUUAUAAACAGAUUUUUGUCUCCCCCUUCAGGUUUCUCAGUCCCUCAGUUGGUGUCUAAAAAACUAACAGCUACUAGAACACUCCUAUCAGUGAGGUAACCUUUAGGGUUCCUCCUAGAAUGUACUAGAACAUUCCUAUCAAUGAGGUAACCUUUAGGGUUCCUCCUAGAAUGUACUAGAACACUUCUAUCAAUGAGGUAACCUUUAGGGUUCCUCCUAGAAUGUACUAGAACACUCCUAUCAGUGAGGUAACCUUUAGGGUUCCUCCUAGAAUGUACUAGAACACUCCUAUCAGUGAGGUAACCUUUAGGGCUCCUCCUAGAAUGUACUAGAACACUCCUAUCAAUGAGGUAACCUUCAGGGUUCCUCCUAGAAUGUACUAGAACACUCCUAUCAAUGAGGUAACCUUCAGGGUUCCUCCUAGAAUGUACUAGAACACUCCUAUCAGUGAGGUAACCUUCAGGGUUCCUCCUAAAAUGUACUAGAACACUUCUAUCAAUGAGGUAACCUUCAGGGUUCCUCCUAAAAUGUACUAGAACACUCCUAUCAAUGAGGUAACCUUUAGGGUUCCUCCUAGAAUGUACUAGAACACUCCUAUCAAUGAGGUAACAUUCAGGGUUCCUCCUAGAAUGUACUAGAACACUUUCAGAAUAAAAAACCAAGUAUAUUAAAAAUCUAAAUGAAUCUGAAGUUAAAAAGCUUCAGUAAAAGUCUUUCUCCAGCAGACGACAGGUUCUUCUAGCAAACUCAAAGAGAGUCAUUCCCUUCCCAUGAAACCUGCUUCCUUUAUACCCUUAAUGCCUCUUCUGAUAAAUCAUCAGGAUGACCACCUGCUCCACUGAUGCCUUCGGUGGUUAACACCUAAUGAAUGCAUCCAUCUUCUCAAAAGGUGCUUUUUCAGCCCCCACUAACCUCCACGUUUUCCCACCUAGGCAGAACGUACGCUUCAACCUACUUGCUGCUCUGACCUGGGGAUUUCCAGAUCAAGCUAGCACCCUUAAUAUACUUCAUGAACAUCAACUUCUUAAAACAUACAUUUUUCAAACAUGAAACUUUCCUAUUCCCUUCACCCUCCUACCUUUAACUAAAUUAUAGUCUUUCUACAACCUAAUUUAUUACUCAAGUUAUAUCUCAAUACAUCAAUAUUUUAAACAUUUCAACAUUAUAACAUUUUACCAUUAUAACGUCUCAUUAUCAACCUCCUAAGGCCUUGUCCUCUAAGCCUAAUCAAACACAGUCUAUAUGAUUCACACCUUAAGGAAAACAACAUUAUAUCUCCCAAUGUUUAAUAACCUGUCUACAGGAAAGAACCUCAGUCUACCUUUGUACAUUACCAAACAGGAAAGAACCUCAGUCUACCUCUGUACAUUACCAAACAGGAAAGAACCUCAGUCUACCUCUGUACAUUACCAAACAGGAAAGAACCUCAGUCUACCUCUGUACAUUACCAAA